Long non-coding RNA from Trachymyrmex septentrionalis, 96 nucleotides. RefSeq lists it as uncharacterized. NCBI's taxonomy places the organism in Eukaryota, Metazoa, Arthropoda, Insecta, Hymenoptera, Formicidae. The transcript has 3 exons. The record is from RefSeq and is a predicted model, not a curated record.
UUUUAAAAGCGGAAAGGAAAAAAAUAUUAAAUAAAAAAAAAAGAAGUCUGUUAAGCGGAUGAGAGCGAAGGAUGAUCCCGAGUUCAAUCCCGGUCG